GAUGAACGCUGGCGGCGUGCCUAAUACAUGCAAGUCGAGCGAACGGACGAGAAGCUUGCUUUUCUGAUGUUAGCGGCGGACGGGUGAGUAACACGUGGAUAACCUACCUAUAAGACUGGGGUAACUUCGGGAAACCGGAGCUAAUACCGGAUAAUAUUUUGAACCGCAUGGUUCAAAAGUGAAAGACGGUCUUGCUAUCACUUAUAGAUGGAUCCGCGCUGCAUUAGCUAGUUGGUAAGGUAACGGCUUACCAAGGCAACGAUGCAUAGCCGACCUGAGAGGGUGAUCGGCCACACUGGAACUGAGACACGCUCCAGACUCCUACGGGAGGCAGCAGUAGGGAAUCUUCCGCAAUGGGCGAAAGCCUGACGGAGCAACGCCGCGUGAGUGAUGAAGGUCUUCGGAUCGUAAAACUCUGUUAUUAGGGAAGAACAUAUGUGUAAGUAACUGUGCACAUCUUGACGGUACCUAAUCAGAAAGCCACGGCUAACUACGUG
Molecule: ribosomal RNA, 497 nt
Filed under: uncultured bacterium
Lineage: Bacteria
Description: partial 16S ribosomal RNA
Rfam family: Bacterial small subunit ribosomal RNA
Source: RNAcentral